This is a long non-coding RNA of Rosa rugosa (rugosa rose), 1511 nucleotides long. RefSeq lists it as uncharacterized. The transcript has 7 exons. The record is from RefSeq and is a predicted model, not a curated record. NCBI's taxonomy places the organism in Eukaryota, Viridiplantae, Streptophyta, Magnoliopsida, Rosales, Rosaceae.
UCCUUCUCCGCGAGCUAGACCCCAAUUAAGCAAUUGCAUCUCCCAUUCUGGUUCUUCUCCCCCGAUCAGCAACAUUAUUUUCCUUUCCCAAUUAUGGUUUUUCUCUCCCCGAUCUAGGUUUUUUACACAAAAGAGUCUCAUCGAUCAACCUCUCCCCGAUCUAGGUCAAGAAGACACUGUUGGUGGAGUUCUUCGAUCCGAUUUUACAAAGUAUACUGUUGUUGCACGUAUAUAUAUGAUUGUUAAUUAGGUUAUGUGGGAUUUCUGGUCAAGGAGAGGAGUGAAGGAGAAAUGGGUUCUGCACUCAGAUGAGUUUUUAGCCUCUCCAAAGUCGAAAACGUUAAAGAUCUUGCAAGAUUAGGUUGUGGUCAAUUGUUAUAAAGAUGGGUAAGAGAUGAUCAGUCUUCAGUAAUAGUCAAAUUGUAUUACCUGCAAUUCGGAAGUGCAAGACUUGGUGUUUGGAUAUAGGGGCAGGAGUUCUUGCUUCAUGCGAGUGACUGAAAUAGAGUUGGGUCUUAUUCGAGUCCAGGGAUUUGCUGCUGGGUUUAUGGAUUUGGUUAUGGUUUGUUCUUCAAAUCGAUUUGAUUGUUAUUUGGGUUCACGAAUUGGGGAUGGUUUGUUCUUGAAGUCGAUUUAGGUGUUAUUUGGCUUUAGAUUUACUGUUGGGUUUAUUAUUUAUAUAAACCUUAGUUUAUUCUGUUAGCUAAUAAUUUUCCAACUUCAGUUCAUCAUCCGAAGUAACUUGCAGAUUAGAUUUUCAUGAGUCAUUCAUUUAUUGCUUGUCAUUGGAAUCAUAAUCUGAUUAUUUGAGAUUGAAUAUAUGGACUUUUAAGUUUUUUGUUCUUUUGACAUGCAUAAGCUUCUCAUAGCACUGCUGAUAGAGGCAUUAAAGCAUGGAAUGUCGAUGCAAAGAGAGUUGUCUGUGACCUUCAGACAAGUGCAGAAUUUCCAAGUGUGUUGGAUAUAAAAUGCAGCCUUGUAGAGCCAAUUUUUGUUUCUGCUGCAGCAUCCAAGGGAUUUUUGAAUGGAGCUUGGAAAACCAAGUGUUGUUCCUUUAUUCCUAACGAGUGUUCUUUGCGGAGCUGAACAAUUUUCUUAACGAGUGAGCUAGCAGAGGAUGGCUAUUCUGGCGAAGAAGUUAGGGUUACGCCGGUGCCGACCUAAAUCAUGAUUAGGGCCACUCGGACUCAGAACUGUUGGACCCUUUGUAAAUUGUUGAGCUUUUAAGUUUGAAAGGUGAGAAGGGAAGAAGAUUGAGGGAACUGACAGUUGUUGUUUAGAGGCAUUUGAAGUUUCUAGAGAAGAGUGUUAAGCUUUAUGCAGAGAAAGUUAACAACCGAGGGCUUUGUGCAAUUGCUCAGGCAGAGUCUUUGCGCUAGUUAUAUGAUCGAGAUAAGAUGGUGUUUUUUGGUUCUCUCAAUCAUAAUGUCAAUGUUAGGUUUAGAAUUUUGGAACUGAUGGAUUGUAUUUUGGAUGAUAUUGAUGCAAUGAAAUAUUUCGCUUCAUUUUGA